RNAcentral lists this ribosomal RNA (393 nucleotides) under uncultured bacterium. RNAcentral describes it as "partial 16S ribosomal RNA". It matches the Rfam family "Bacterial small subunit ribosomal RNA", at positions 523 to 918 of the family's 1533-position model. The record is from RNAcentral.
AUACGGAGGAUGCAAGCGUUAUCCGGAUUUAUUGGGUUUAAAGGGUGCGUAGGCGGUUUGCUAAGCGGGAGGUGAAAUGCCGGCGCUCAACGUCGGAAGUGCCUCCCGAACUGGUGGACUGGAAUGACUCUGCCGUGGGAGGAAUGUGUAGUGUAGCGGUGAAAUGCUUAGAGAUUACACAGAACACCGAUUGCGAAGGCAUCUCACGAAGGGUUGAUUGACGCUGAGGCACGAAAGCGUGGGGAGCAAACAGGAUUAGAUACCCUGGUAGUCCACGCAGUAAACGAUGAUGGCUAACCGCUGGGCUUAUCAGUUCAGUGGCCAAGCGAAAGCGAUAAGCCAUCCACCUGGGGAGUACGACCGCAAGGUUGAAACUCAAAGGAAUUGACGGGU